Molecule: non-coding RNA, 751 nt
Organism: Camellia sinensis
Lineage: Eukaryota; Viridiplantae; Streptophyta; Magnoliopsida; Ericales; Theaceae
Source: RefSeq, a predicted model, not a curated record
UUUUCAACUCCUUGGUUAGAACUUUGUGCCCUAAUAAUCUAUCCAUAGUUCUUUCACAAAGCAGUAGCAGAGAACAACGUGAGCUCAUCCUCCACCGUGAGGACGAUUCAUCCGUGAGUUCAUCCUGUACCGACAUCAAGCUACAACACCACCGUGAGUUCUAGAAUCUCUGCUAUAAAUGGGGUGCAAAACUGACUCCAUCAGAGGUGGCUAAUAAAGUGAAGCACUAUGACAAGAUAAGUGGAAGAAGUCAAGGGUUUGGCUUCGUGACGAGGAGAAGUAAGCAAAGCAGGGCCUCUGGUUGAAUUUCUUGAAUGGACUUCUACAGAUUACAAAAUGGCUUCUUCCUCUAGUAACAAUAGCUACUUAAGAUUGAUACCAAGAUUUUGUGAUUGUGGGAGAACAGCUGCCAUACACAUUGUGCUUUCCAAUCAGAAUGGAAAUAAAGGGCGUGUGUACUUUGUGUGUCCAUCAAAAUAUAUUAGUGAGGAACACUGCAAUUACUUCAAGUUCGUAGAUGAUGAUGACUACGACGUGAUCUCCAAUGUUGCACCUCGUACAUCUAUAAGAAGCGAAGAAUUUAACGAUCCAAGCACAAGGGUUUAUGAGAUGGAUAAUGAAUUUCAGGAGCAUGGUAGAAGGCUUCGAAAGAUGGAGAAGAAAUUGAAUGUCGUGCUUUAUGUCAUUGUAUUUUGUAUUGUUUUAUAUUUUAUAAUGUAAACUACUGAGUUCAUAGCUUUUGGGGAAUUUG